This 922-nucleotide ribosomal RNA is filed under the name uncultured bacterium. Its description in RNAcentral is "bacterial SSU rRNA". It matches the Rfam family "Bacterial small subunit ribosomal RNA", at positions 8 to 916 of the family's 1533-position model. The record is from RNAcentral.
AGAGUUUGAUCCUGGCUCAGAACGAACGCUGGCGGCAGGCCUAACACAUGCAAGUCGAACGCUUCAGCAAUGAAGAGUGGCGCACGGGUGAGUAACGCGUGGGUAAUCUACCCUUGGAUUCGGGAUAACCCUUCGAAAGGGGGGCUAAUACCGGAUGACAUCCCGUUGACCUCGGUUGAUGGGAUCAAAGAAGGCCUCUACAUGUAAGCUUUUGUUUGAGGAUGAGCCCGCGUACCAUUAGCUAGUUGGUAGGGUAACGGCCUACCAAGGCCGCGAUGGUUAGCUGGUCUGAGAGGAUGAUCAGCCACACUGGGACUGGAACACGGCCCAGACUCCUACGGGAGGCAGCAGUGAGGGAUAUUGCGCAAUGGGGGAAACCCUGACGCAGCCACGCCGCGUGAGUGAAGAAGGCCUUCGGGUCGUAAAGCUCUGUCAGAAGGGAAGAACCCCGGUUUGGUUAAUAGCCAUUCCGGCUGACGGUACCUUCAAAGGAAGCACCGGCUAACUCCGUGCCAGCAGCCGCGGUAAUACGGAGGGUGCAAGCGUUGUUCGGAAUUACUGGGCGUAAAGCGAGUGUAGGCGGCUUGGCAAGUCAGAUGUGAAAUCCCUGGGCUUAACCCAGGAAGUGCAUCCGAUACUGCUAGGCUUGAGUCUCGGAGAGGGAAGUGGAAUUCCCGGUGGAGAGGUGAAAUUCGUAGAUAUCGGGAGGAACAUCAGUGGCGAAGGCGACUUCCUGGACGAUGACUGACGCUCAGACUCGAAAGCGUGGGUAGCAAACAGGAUUAGAUACCCUGGUAGUCCACGCCGUAAACGGUGUCCACUAGGUGUUGUGGGUAUUGACCCCCGCAGUGCCGCAGCUAACGCAUUAAGUGGACCGCCUGGGGAGUACGGUCGCAAGAUUAAAACUCAAAGGAAUUGACGG